Long non-coding RNA from Fukomys damarensis (Damara mole-rat), 497 nucleotides. RefSeq lists it as uncharacterized. Lineage: Eukaryota; Metazoa; Chordata; Mammalia; Rodentia; Bathyergidae. The transcript is spliced from 4 exons. The record is from RefSeq and is a predicted model, not a curated record.
UGAGUCUCCUGCUGCCUCUUAGAAGGUUCUUGAGGGAGCUCCUUAGCCUCAUCCAUGAAAUGGGAUGCAAGGGACAACAGGAGAAAAGAUGAGCCGGCAUCCUAGGUCCUAUCUUGUUCUCUUGCUUACUGGCUACAUUGUCUUAGGUCAGAUGGCUUCAGCUUGAGUCCUUGAGCUGCCACAGUGAUGGGAGCGUGAUGCCAGCCUUCCUGGGGAGACAGGAGGCCCCUGAGAAACAAGCCCUACCUACCAGCAGCUCAUUGCCAAGAAGUGCUUGCCCGGGGCAGGGAAGUACUAGGACCAGAGGUACUGGGAUCAUCGAAUUCAGGCCCUUCCCCUUGCCAGGCAGCCACUGAGCUACAUUCCUUGCUGGGAAGGAACUUACCUUGCAUCUUCUGGGCAGCCCAGUGGCCUCAAUUUGAAGGAUUACAUCAACCUCAGUCAAGAGCCCGCCAAACUGGGUGUGGUGGCGCACACCUGUAAUCCCAGCACUUGGG